This 765-nucleotide ribosomal RNA is filed under the name uncultured Streptococcus sp. RNAcentral describes it as "bacterial SSU rRNA". It matches the Rfam family "Bacterial small subunit ribosomal RNA", at positions 28 to 776 of the family's 1533-position model. Lineage: Bacteria; Bacillati; Bacillota; Bacilli; Lactobacillales; Streptococcaceae. The record is from RNAcentral.
GACGAACGCUGGCGGCGUGCCUAAUACAUGCAAGUAGGACGCUGAAGAGAGGAGCUUGCUCUUCUUGGAUGAGUUGCGAACGGGUGAGUAACGCGUAGGUAACCUGCCUUGUAGCGGGGGAUAACUAUUGGAAACGAUAGCUAAUACCGCAUAACAAUGGAUGACACAUGUCAUUUAUUUGAAAGGGGCAAUUGCUCCACUACAAGAUGGACCUGCGUUGUAUUAGCUAGUAGGUGAGGUAACGGCUCACCUAGGCGACGAUACAUAGCCGACCUGAGAGGGUGAUCGGCCACACUGGGACUGAGACACGGCCCAGACUCCUACGGGAGGCAGCAGUAGGGAAUCUUCGGCAAUGGGGGCAACCCUGACCGAGCAACGCCGCGUGAGUGAAGAAGGUUUUCGGAUCGUAAAGCUCUGUUGUAAGUCAAGAACGAGUGUGAGAGUGGAAAGUUCACACUGUGACGGUAGCUUACCAGAAAGGGACGGCUAACUACGUGCCAGCAGCCGCGGUAAUACGUAGGUCCCGAGCGUUGUCCGGAUUUAUUGGGCGUAAAGCGAGCGCAGGCGGUUUGAUAAGUCUGAAGUUAAAGGCUGUGGCUCAACCAUAGUUCGCUUUGGAAACUGUCAAACUUGAGUGCAGAAGGGGAGAGUGGAAUUCCAUGCGUAGCGGUGAAAUGCGUAGAUAUAUGGAGGAACACCGGUGGCGAAAGCGGCUCUCUGGUCUGUAACUGACGCUGAGGCUCGAAAGCGUGGGGAGCGAACAGG